This 460-nucleotide ribosomal RNA is filed under the name uncultured Prevotella sp. RNAcentral's name for it is "bacterial SSU rRNA". It matches the Rfam family "Bacterial small subunit ribosomal RNA", at positions 338 to 795 of the family's 1533-position model. Lineage: Bacteria; Pseudomonadati; Bacteroidota; Bacteroidia; Bacteroidales; Prevotellaceae. The record is from RNAcentral.
CCUACGGGAGGCAGCAGUGAGGAAUAUUGGUCAAUGGACGGAAGUCUGAACCAGCCAAGUAGCGUGCAGGAUGACGGCCCUCCGGGUUGUAAACUGCUUUAGUUCGGGAAUAACGACGGGGACGUGUCCCCGGAAAGAAUGUACCGAAAGAAUAAGGACCGGCUAAUUCCGUGCCAGCAGCCGCGGUAAUACGGAAGGUCCAGGCGUUAUCCGGAUUUAUUGGGUUUAAAGGGAGCGUAGGCGGACUGUUAAGUCAGCGGUUAAAGAGUGUGGCUCAACCAUACGAUGCCGUUGAAACUGGUGGUCUUGAGUGCACACAGGGAUGCUGGAACUCGUGGUGUAGCGGUGAAAUGCUUAGAUAUCACGAUGAACUCCGAUCGCGAAGGCAGGUGUCCGGGGUGUAACUGACGCUGAGGCUCGAAAGUGUGGGUAUCAAACAGGAUUAGAUACCCUGGUAGUC